GCUUCGUGGUCGAGUGGUAAGAAUAUUAGCCUCUCACCCAGGAUUCCCAGGAGUCCCGGGUUCGAUCCCCGGUCGAGGAGCU
Molecule: non-coding RNA, 82 nt
Organism: Rhamnusium bicolor
Lineage: Eukaryota; Metazoa; Arthropoda; Insecta; Coleoptera; Cerambycidae
Source: the annotation of a GenBank genome assembly